UACGAAGGGGGCUAGCGUUGUUCGGAAUUACUGGGCGUAAAGCGCGCGCAGGCGGUUCGAUAAGUUGGGGGUGAAAUCCCCGGGCUCAACCCGGGAAUGGCCUUCAAGACUGUCGAGCUAGAGGACGAGAGAGGUGAGUGGAAUUCCCAGUGUAGAGGUGAAAUUCGUAGAUAUUGGGAAGAACACCGGUGGCGAAGGCGGCUCACUGGCUCGUUUCUGACGCUGAGGCGCGAAAGCGUGGGGAGCAAACAGGAUUAGAUACCCUGGUAGUCCACGCCGUAAACGAUGAGUGCCAGGUGUCGGGGGACUUAGUCCUUCGGCGCCGCAGCUAACGCCUUAAGCACUCCGCCUGGGGAGUACGGCCGCAAGGUUAAA
RNAcentral lists this ribosomal RNA (375 nucleotides) under uncultured bacterium. Its description in RNAcentral is "bacterial SSU rRNA". It matches the Rfam family "Bacterial small subunit ribosomal RNA", at positions 524 to 898 of the family's 1533-position model. The record is from RNAcentral.